GGAGAGAUGGCUCAGUGGUUAAGAGCACUGGCUUGCUCUGCCAGAGGUCCUGGGUUCGAUUCCCAGCACCC
Molecule: non-coding RNA, 71 nt
Organism: Mus musculus (house mouse)
Lineage: Eukaryota; Metazoa; Chordata; Mammalia; Rodentia; Muridae
Source: Rfam